GAUGAACGCUGGCGGCGUGCCUAAUACAUGCAAGUCGAGCGAACAGACGAGGAGCUUGCUCCUCUGACGUUAGCGGCGGACGGGUGAGUAACACGUGGAUAACCUACCUAUAAGACUGGGAUAACUUCGGGAAACCGGAGCUAAUACCGGAUAAUAUAUUGAACCGCAUGGUUCAAUAGUGAAAGACGGUUUUGCUGUCACUUAUAGAUGGAUCCGCGCCGCAUUAGCUAGUUGGUAAGGUAACGGCUUACCAAGGCAACGAUGCGUAGCCGACCUGAGAGGGUGAUCGGCCACACUGGAACUGAGACACGGUCCAGACUCCUAAGGGAGGCAGCAGUAGGGAAUCUUCCGCAAUGGGCGAAAGCCUGACGGAGCAACGCCGCGUGAGUGAUGAAGGUCUUCGGAUCGUAAAACUCUGUUAUUAGGGAAGAACAAAUGUGUAAGUAACUAUUCACGUCUUGACGGUACCUAAUCAGAAAGCCACGGCUAACUACGUG
RNAcentral lists this ribosomal RNA (497 nucleotides) under uncultured bacterium. RNAcentral describes it as "partial 16S ribosomal RNA". It matches the Rfam family "Bacterial small subunit ribosomal RNA", at positions 28 to 507 of the family's 1533-position model. The record is from RNAcentral.